RNAcentral lists this ribosomal RNA (484 nucleotides) under uncultured bacterium. Its description in RNAcentral is "partial 16S ribosomal RNA". It matches the Rfam family "Bacterial small subunit ribosomal RNA", at positions 30 to 507 of the family's 1533-position model. The record is from RNAcentral.
AUUGAACGCUGGCGGCAGGCCUAACACAUGCAAGUCGAGCGGAUGAAGGGAGCUUGCUCCUGGAUUCAGCGGCGGACGGGUGAGUAAUGCCUAGGAAUCUGCCUGGUAGUGGGGGAUAACGUCCGGAAACGGGCGCUAAUACCGCAUACGUCCUGAGGGAGAAAGUGGGGGAUCUUCGGACCUCACGCUAUCAGAUGAGCCUAGGUCGGAUUAGCUAGUUGGUGGGGUAAAGGCCUACCAAGGCGACGAUCCGUAACUGGUCUGAGAGGAUGAUCAGUCACACGGAAAGUGAACACCGUCCCAGACUCCUACGGGGGGAGGCGGGGGGGAUUUUUGGAGAAGGGGCGAAAGCUGGACCCAGCCAGGCGGGGGGUGUGAAAAAGUUCUUCGAAUUGUAAAGCCUUUUAAGUGGGGAGAAAGGGCAGUAAGUAAAUCCCUUGUUGUUUUGACGUUCCCAAAAAAAAAAGCCCCGGCUAACUUGGUC